Molecule: RNA transcript, 1756 nt
Organism: Rhinopithecus roxellana (golden snub-nosed monkey)
Lineage: Eukaryota; Metazoa; Chordata; Mammalia; Primates; Cercopithecidae
Gene name: polypyrimidine tract-binding protein 1-like
Exons: 2
Source: RefSeq, a predicted model, not a curated record
GGUGCCUCCACUCCACCCCCGCGGGUCUGCUGUGCGUGUCAUGGAUGGCAUUGUCCCAGAUAUAGCAGUUGGUACAAAGCAGGGAUCUGACGAGCUUUUCUCUACUUGUGUCACUAACAGACCAUUUAUCAUGAGCAGCAACUCGGCCUCUGCAGCAAAUGGAAAUGGCAGCAAGAAGUUCAAAGGUGACAGCAGAAGCGCUGGUGUCCCCUCCAGAGUGACCCACAUCCAGAAGCUCCCAUCGACGUCACCGAAGGGGAGGUGAUCUCCCUGGAGCUGCUCUUUGGGAAGGUCGCUAAUCUCCUGAUGCUGAAGGGGAAAAACCAGGCCUUCAUCGAGAUGAGCACGGAGGAGGCUGCCAACACCAUGGUGAACUACUACACCUCGGUGACACCCGUGCUGCGCAGCCAGCCCAUCUACAUCCAGUUCUCCAACCAUAAGGGGCUGAAGACCGACAGCUCUCCCAACCAGGCGCAGGACCCAGCGGCCCUCAGGCGUUAACUCGGUCCAUUUGGGGAACCUGGCCUCGGCUGCCUCGGCGGUGGCCGUAGACGCAGGGAUGGCGAUGGCCGGGCAGAGCCCAGUGCUCAGGAUCAUCGUAGAGAACUUCGUCUAGCCCGUGGCUCUGGAUGUGCUGCACCAGAUUUUCUCCAAGUUCGGCACAUUGUUGAAGACCAUCACCUUCAUCAAGAACAACCAGUUCCAGGCCCUGCUGCAGUACGCCGACCCCGAGAACGCCCAGCGUGUCAAGCUGUCGCUGGACUGGCAGAACACCUACAACGCCUGCCACUCGCUGUGCAUCGACUUCCCCAAGCUCAUCAGUCUCAACGUCAAGUACAACAAUGACAAGAGCCAGGACUACCACGUCCAGACCUGCCCUCUGGGGACAGCCAGCCCUCGCUAGACUAGACAUGGCCGCGGCCUUCGAUCUUUUAGUUCCCAACAUCCACAGAGCCUGGUCCCCCUGGCUAUCCCCUCAGCGGCGGCAGCUGCAGCGGCAGGCCGGAUCGCCAUCCCGGGCCUGGCAGGGGCAGGAAAUUCUGUCUUACUGGUCGGCAACCUCAACCCAGAGAGAGUCACACCCCAAAGCCUCGUCCUCUUUAUUCUUUUCAGCAACUACGGGUACGUGCAGUGCGUGAAGAUCCUGUUCAAUAAAAAGGAGAACGCCCUGUUGAAGAUGGCGGACGACAACCAGGCCCAGCCGGCUAUGAGCCCCCUGAACUGGCACAAGCUGCACGGGAAGCCCAUCCGCAUCACCUCAGCCUUAUCACGCCCUCGAAGCACCAGAACGUGUAGCUGCCCCGCGAGGGCCGGAAGGACCAAGGCCUGACCAAGGACUAUGGCAACUUGGCCCUGCACCGCUUCAAGAAGCCAGGCUUCAAGAACUUCCAGAAUAUAUUCCUGCCCUCGGCCACUGUGCACCUCUCCAACAUCCCGCCCUCAGUAUCCGAGGAAUAUCUCAAGGUCCUCUCCUCCAGCCAUGGGGGUGUCAUCAAACGACUCAAGUUCUUCCAGAAGGACCGCAAGAUGGCGCUGAUCCAAAUGCGCUGCGUGGAGGAGGCGGUCCAGGCCCCAGUUGACCUACACAACCACCAUGUCUGGGAGAACCACCACCCGGGGGUCUCCUUCUCCAAGUCCACCAUCUAGGGGUCUCAGGCCCCCCACGGCCGGGCCCCCUGGCGACAACUUCCAUCAUUCCAGAAAAAAGCCACUUUAAAGAGCAGCUGAAGUGACCUUAACUGAUCAUUUUAUUUCU